This 779-nucleotide ribosomal RNA is filed under the name Weissella confusa. Its description in RNAcentral is "bacterial SSU rRNA". It matches the Rfam family "Bacterial small subunit ribosomal RNA", at positions 1 to 772 of the family's 1533-position model. The record is from RNAcentral. Lineage: Bacteria; Bacillati; Bacillota; Bacilli; Lactobacillales; Lactobacillaceae.
UUCCAUUCAGCGCUAUCAUGCAGUCGACGCUUUGUGGUUCAACUGAUUUGAAGAGCUUGCUCAGAUAUGACGAUGGACAUUGCAAAGAGUGGCGAACGGGUGAGUAACACGUGGGAAACCUACCUCUUAGCAGGGGAUAACAUUUGGAAACAGAUGCUAAUACCGUAUAACAAUGACAACCGCAUGGUUGUUAUUUAAAAGAUGGUUCUGCUAUCACUAAGAGAUGGUCCCGCGGUGCAUUAGCUAGUUGGUAAGGUAAUGGCUUACCAAGGCGAUGAUGCAUAGCCGAGUUGAGAGACUGAUCGGCCACAAUGGGACUGAGACACGGCCCAUACUCCUACGGGAGGCAGCAGUAGGGAAUCUUCCACAAUGGGCGAAAGCCUGAUGGAGCAACGCCGCGUGUGUGAUGAAGGGUUUCGGCUCGUAAAACACUGUUGUAAGAGAAGAAUGACAUUGAGAGUAACUGUUCAAUGUGUGACGGUAUCUUACCAGAAAGGAACGGCUAAAUACGUGCCAGCAGCCGCGGUAAUACGUAUGUUCCAAGCGUUAUCCGGAUUUAUUGGGCGUAAAGCGAGCGCAGACGGUUAUUUAAGUCUGAAGUGAAAGCCCUCAGCUCAACUGAGGAAUUGCUUUGGAAACUGGAUGACUUGAGUGCAGUAGAGGAAAGUGGAACUCCAUGUGUAGCGGUGAAAUGCGUAGAUAUAUGGAAGAAACACCAGUGGCGAAGGCGGCUUUCUGGACUGUAACUGACGUUGAGGCUCGAAAGUGUGGGUAGCAAA